ACACAGUCGGUACGAAGUCGUAACAAGGUAGUUGACGGUGAACUUGUGGCUGAAC
This 55-nucleotide ribosomal RNA is filed under the name Hepatozoon catesbianae. Its description in RNAcentral is "small subunit ribosomal RNA". The record is from RNAcentral. Lineage: Eukaryota; Apicomplexa; Hepatozoidae. RNAcentral also lists the same sequence under 3 other names.